UGUACGGUAAACUAAAAAGUUUAUUGUUGCGAGAUAUAAAUUAAAAGUAUUUUAAAUAAAAUGUCACGAUAUUAAAAUGUCGCAUCAAUUCCAGGCAAUACUUUUUAAGUAACAAUUAUCCUCAAAAAACUUGAUAAAUUAUAUCGGUCGCGAUGAAUUGAUUGAGUAAAUAGUUUUUAAAUUGAAAUUUCCUUAAAAGGUAAUAAAAAUGAGGACGAUGCUGCAUGCUGUCGCCAUCGUGCUAACUGUGCUGUUGCUUCUUAUCAGACCCCGAUAUACCUUUGCAGCAGUUUGCUAUAAACGUGUAACGACACCCUUCCUGCCAAGUGAUAAAAUCAAAUCCAAUGACUCCACGAGCCUGGCGUGCCAUGCGUACUAUGUCGACCCCAAAUACAAACGAGACCCAGAGAUUGAUCUCGAUGAUGAAGAAAUAGGAAACCAACCUCUUGAAUAAAAUUUACAAUGUUUGUUUACAUUUUUUGGUAAUAAAAAAAUUGCAAAUUGAAA
Molecule: long non-coding RNA, 507 nt
Organism: Danaus plexippus (monarch butterfly)
Lineage: Eukaryota; Metazoa; Arthropoda; Insecta; Lepidoptera; Nymphalidae
Exons: 2
Source: RefSeq, a predicted model, not a curated record